GGACUACCCGGGUUUCUAAUCCUGUUUGCUCCCCACGCUCUCGCGCCUCAGCGUCAGUAUUUGUCCAGGUAGCCGCCUUCGCCACUGGUGUUCCUUCCGAUCUCUACGCAUUUCACCGCUACACCGGAAAUUCCACUACCCUCUACAAUACUCCAGCUCGCCAGUCUUCGUUGCCGUUCCUAGGUUAAGCCCAGGGAUUUCACAACAAUCUUAACGAACCGCCUACGCGCCCUUUACGCCCAGUAACUCCGAUUAACGCUCGCACCCUCUGUAUUACCGCGGCUGCUGGCAC
RNAcentral lists this ribosomal RNA (292 nucleotides) under uncultured bacterium. RNAcentral describes it as "partial 16S ribosomal RNA". The record is from RNAcentral.